AACGAACGCUGGCGGCAGGCUUAACACAUGCAAGUCGAACGCGUGUAGCAAUACACGAGUGGCGCACGGGUGAGUAACGCGUGGAUAUCUGCCUUUUGGUUCGGAAUAACUCCGGGAAACUGGAGCUAAUACCGGAUGGUUCCUACGGGAUAAAGAUUUAUCGCCAAAAGAUGAGUCCGCGUACGAUUAGCUAGUUGGUGAGGUAAUGGCUCACCAAGGCGACGAUCGUUAGCUGGUCUGAGAGGACGAUCAGCCACACUGGGACUGAGACACGGCCCAGACUCCUACGGGAGGCGGCAGUGGGGAAUAUUGGACAAUGGGGGCAACCCUGAUCCAGCCAUGCCGCGUGAGUGAUGAAGGCCUUCGGUGUAAGCUCUUUGGUCGGGGACGGAUGAUGACGGUACCCGC
RNAcentral lists this ribosomal RNA (408 nucleotides) under uncultured bacterium. RNAcentral's name for it is "bacterial SSU rRNA". It matches the Rfam family "Bacterial small subunit ribosomal RNA", at positions 29 to 482 of the family's 1533-position model. The record is from RNAcentral.